GACGAACGCUGGCGGCGUGCUUAACACAUGCAAGUCGAACGGAAAGGCCCUGCUGUUGUGGGGUGCUCGAGUGGCGAACGGGUGAGUAACACGGGAGUAACCGGCCCUUGACUUUGGGAUAACUUCAGGAAACUGGGGCUAAUACCGGAUAGGAGCUCCUGCUGCAUGGUGGGGGUUGGAAAGUUUCGGCGGUUGGGGAUGGACUCGCGGCUUAUCAGCUUGUUGGUGGGGUAGUGGCUUACCAAGGCUUUGACGGGUAGCCGGCCUGAGAGGGUGACCGGCCACAUUGGGACUGAGAUACGGCCCAGACUCCUACGGGAGGCAGCAGUGGGGAAUAUUGCACAAUGGGCGGAAGCCUGAUGCAGCAACGCCGCGUGCUGGAUGACGGCCUUCGGGUUGUAACCCGCUUUCGCCUGUGACGAAGCGUGAGUGACGGUAAUGGGUAAAGAAGCACCGGCUAACUACGUG
Molecule: ribosomal RNA, 468 nt
Filed under: uncultured bacterium
Lineage: Bacteria
Description: partial 16S ribosomal RNA
Rfam family: Bacterial small subunit ribosomal RNA
Source: RNAcentral